GACGAACGCUGGCGGCGUGCCUAAUACAUGCAAGUCGAGCGGACUGAAUGGGAGCUUGCUCUUGUUCGGUCAGCGGCGGACGGAUGAGUAACACGUGGGCAACCUGCCCGCAAGACCGGGAUAACUCCGGGAAACCGGAGCUAAUACCGGAUAACACCGAAGACCGCAUGGUCUUUGGUUGAAAGGCGGCGCAAGCUGCCACUUGCGGAUGGGCCCGCGGCGCAUUAGCUAGUUGGUGAGGUAACGGCUCACCAAGGCGACGAUGCGUAGCCGGCCUGAGAGGGUGACCGGCCACACUGGGACUGAGACACGGCCCAGACUCCUACGGGAGGCAGCAGUAGGGAAUCUUCCGCAAUGGGCGAAAGCCUGACGGAGCGACGCCGCGUGAGCGAAGAAGGCCUUCGGGUCGUAAAGCUCUGUUGUGAGGGACGAAGGAGCGCCGUUUGAAGAAGGCGGCGCGGUGACGGUACCUCACGAGGAAGCCCCGGCUAACUACGUG
Molecule: ribosomal RNA, 499 nt
Filed under: uncultured bacterium
Lineage: Bacteria
Description: partial 16S ribosomal RNA
Rfam family: Bacterial small subunit ribosomal RNA
Source: RNAcentral